Molecule: ribosomal RNA, 692 nt
Filed under: uncultured fungus
Lineage: Eukaryota; Fungi
Description: eukaryotic LSU rRNA
Rfam family: Eukaryotic large subunit ribosomal RNA
Source: RNAcentral
CCACCGUGCUCCGUACCGCCCCGCAACGCCCCCCAGAUUACGCCGUCAAACGCGCACGAAUUGACCUCGGAUCAGGUAGGGAUACCCGCUGAACUUAAGCAUAUCAAUAAGCGGAGGAAAAGAAACCAACAGGGAUUGCCCUAGUAACGGCGAGUGAAGCGGCAACAGCUCAAAUUUGAAAUCUGGGCCCUUUGGGGCUCCGAGUUGUAAUUUGCAGAGGAUGCUUCGGCGCGUGGCCCGGGCCAAGUCCCUUGGAACAGGGCGCCCGAGAGGGUGAGAGCCCCGUACGCCCGGGACCCACCGCCGUAAGGAAGCUCCUUCGACGAGUCGAGUUGUUUGGGAAUGCAGCUCUAAGCGGGAGGUAAAUUUCUUCUAAAGCUAAAUACCGGCCAGAGACCGAUAGCGCACAAGUAGAGUGAUCGAAAGAUGAAAAGCACUUUGGAAAGAGAGUUAAAAAGCACGUGAAAUUGUUAAAAGGGAAGCUCUUGCUGUCAGACUUGUCGCGGUCGUUCAGCCCCCCCCCGGGGCGGUGUAAUCCUCCGCGGCGGGCCAGCAUCAGCUCUGGCGGCCGGACAAAGGCCUCGGGAAUGUAGCCCCCCUCGGGGGGUGUUAUAGCCCGGGGCGUAAUGCGGCCAGCCGGGGCCGAGGGAAGCGUUUUUGCUAGGAUGCUGGCGUAAUGGCAGCAAGCGACC